Molecule: ribosomal RNA, 495 nt
Filed under: uncultured bacterium
Lineage: Bacteria
Description: partial 16S ribosomal RNA
Rfam family: Bacterial small subunit ribosomal RNA
Source: RNAcentral
GACGAACGCUGGCGGCGUGCCUAAUACAUGCAAGUAGAACGCUGAAGGAGGAGCUUGCUUCUCUGGAUGAGUUGCGAACGGGUGAGUAACGCGUAGGUAACCUGCCUGGUAGCGGGGGAUAACUAUUGGAAACGAUAGCUAAUACCGCAUAAUAGUAGAUGUUGCAUGACAUUUUCUUAAAAGGUGCAAUUGCAUCACUACAAGAUGGACCUGCGUUGUAUUAGCUAGUUGGUGGGGUAACGGCUCACCAAGGCGACGAUACAUAGCCGACCUGAGAGGGGUAUCGGCCACACUGGGAUUGAGAAAAGGCCCAGACGCAUACAGGGGGCAGCAGGAGGGAAUCAUCGGCAAUUGAGGGAAGACUGGCCGAGAAACGCCGCAUGAGGGAAGAAGGUUUUCGGAGCGGAAAGCUCUGUUGUAAGAGAAGAAAGAGUGUGAGAAUGGAACGUUCACACUGUGACGGUAUCUGACCAGAAAGCGACGGCUAACUACGUG